GAUGAAGAACGUAGCGAAAUGCGCUACUUGGUGUGAAUUGCAGAAUCCCGUGAACCAUCGAGUCUUUGAACGCAAGUUGCGCCUCAAGCCAUUAGGUUGAGGGCACGUCUGCCUGGGCGUCACAUAUCGUUGCCUGAUGCCAGUUUCCUCGUGAUGGGUGACUGUGCAGGGCGAAUGAUGGCUUCCCGUGAGCAUUGUUGCCUCAUGGUUGGUUGAAAAUUGAGUCCUUGGUAGGGAGCGCCGUGAUAGAUGGUGGUUGAGUGACGAACGAGACCCAAUCAUGUGAGACCCCUACCGAAUUUGGCCUUCAUGACCCACAUGCGUCUUUGGAACGCUCAUGACGAGACCUCAGGUCAGGCGGGGCUACCCGCUGAGUUUAAGCAUAUCAAUAAGCGGAGGA
RNAcentral lists this unclassified non-coding RNA (400 nucleotides) under soil metagenome. RNAcentral describes it as "partial contains 5.8S ribosomal RNA, internal transcribed spacer 2, and large subunit ribosomal RNA". The stretch from base 1 to 122 matches the Rfam family "5.8S ribosomal RNA", at positions 35 to 154 of the family's 154-position model. The record is from RNAcentral.